Molecule: non-coding RNA, 2928 nt
Organism: Peromyscus maniculatus bairdii (prairie deer mouse)
Lineage: Eukaryota; Metazoa; Chordata; Mammalia; Rodentia; Cricetidae
Source: RefSeq, a predicted model, not a curated record
CUUCAGUGCGACAGCCUCAGAGCUGAUGAAGAGACAGAGAGCACGCAACUGGAAAAAAUUCAGACGUGGAAUUCAUGGAUCAAAUGGUCACCAGUUGUUUCCGCAUUAUGUAUUGAAUAACACAACCUUCUUCCUCUGAUGAGAAGUGUCAACAGCUCUUCUCCUGUUAGAUAGGGUGUAGCUUUCCACAGAAGUUGGUGAAUCCAAUGACAUAGAAUACUGGUCCAGAUGUUAUUCCAGAUGUUGUUCCUUUUGGAUGCUCCUGACAUUCCAGUUGUGUGUUUGGAAAGUACUUCAGGGGUCAAUGCUUAUCCUAAGGAUUUCUGUUCCUCAGACAGGAAAACACCACUAUGCUCCAUUUCUUUGUACUGCAAGUGGAAGGGUCAAGACAGGAAACAUGGAGGCUUUUACUAGGAGGUAAGUUAAAUGGUAACAGAAGUAUUUGACAGUUAAAAAUCACCUGCUGUUCUCUGUUGCACCCUUUACUCUCCAGCACAGCUUUUCUCCCACCCAGCGACUUCGAACCACAGCCACUGGCCUUUUCUGACUUUGGAAGGAAAAGGAAGAUGUUAAAGGAAAAUGCCUGGAACCAGACUUCUGCCUGCAUUGUGCAACUAACUCGUCCUAAUACCCAUACUGACCAAAUGAGCGACACGUAUUUACCCUCACAGAAUGCAAACACCUCUCACAUAGCACACAGAUGACCUAGAGCAGAAUGUUCCACUACCCCUGAGGCUCAUUCGUGUAUAUCACAGCAAAAAGAUUGGCCCCUUAUUACAUCCCUUCCAUAUAACUGGGCUCUUUUAGAUAAACAAAGGUUCUCUCCAACUCAGAGACCAAGCUAAAGGACAUUUAUCAGCUCCACAUGAUGAGACUUGCCUCACUGUGGAGACAGUGCCUCUCACACAGAAAAUCUCAACAUUGUAGCUCAUCUUCACAUCACACAGAUCCUGUCAAGAACAAACAAAGUAUACAGACUUCAUUUAUACAACACAGAUUUCUUCCCAAGCACAUAGAUUCUCCUCAGAAAAUUUAAGUACUCCCCCCAGCAAGCCUCUUCCCACAGCAAAUCACCCCAUGUGUGCUCCACCAACUGAACUCCUGGCUGAUGAAGUUCAUGUGAAACAGACCUCCCUCACAUCACUCUAACCCUUGCAAAACCAAGCAGCCUUGCCCACAACACACAGACUCUUGCCACAUCAUGGAAACCUUCACCACGGAACACAGACUGUCCACAGCACAGCUUUACCACAUAGUGCACAUAGUUUCUCCACGAACACAAACAUACAACACAGCUAAAAUCCCUUGCCUUGGCACAAAAACUCACCCAAAAAACAAACUAUCCCUCUGACAAAUAAAUGAAUGCCAUGUAACAAAGAUUGUUCCAACAGAACACAGGCUUAUAUCUUACUACACACACACCUUCCAUGGUGCACAUUUAUCCCAUGAAACAUAGAUUAAAUUUAUGGUACAGAGACAUUCCCAAUAGCUCUGAGCAUGCUUACUCCUCCACCACAUAGCAAUACAGAAGUAUAACCCGAAGCACGUAGAUCAUGCCUUGUUAAACAAGAUUUUAAUUUAAUAAACACAGUUUUACUACAAUGUACCAAUUCAUCUCAUGAUAAACAUACAUCGCAAACCUGCAUUGCAAACACCUGCCUCAGAGGCACUCAUUUGCCACACAUUCCAGAUUUGCAGAAUUACUCUCUAAGGUACUUAAGUCCCCUCCCUACAGUAUCCACACUCAACCCACAAUCCAGGUGUAAACUAUAACAUGUGAACACACAUCUCAGAAGACCACACUCCACUGCCACAAUGCUCAGAAUUCCCUAACAGCAGUGUGUUUUCUAUACAUUUCAUCUCACAAAAUCAACACUUCUUACAGUGGUUUUACAGUCUAGACACAUGCCCCCAAACACAUGAAGCCAGUGUUUAAGUGACUCUCAGAUUUACCACAAGCACCCAGACUGUUUCACUGUUACCUACAGAGCAAGCUGUGCCUAGCAUAUGCAUAGAAAGAACUCUAAUAGAAUGCACAGAAUCUACUGUUAGUAUACAUACUUGUCUCAUAACUUUUAUAAAUACUUUCAAACAGUGACACUCACUUUAAAUGUACAGAUAAGCCAAUCAGGUCACAGACUUGCCCUAUAAUAUACUCAAUCAUAAUUCAUAUGUCUUAAAAGUUAUAGACGUACACGUGAAUGCAUAGAGUUGUUUUACAUUGUGCAGUUACAACACUUACUUUAUAAUGCAAGUAAACAGCAAUUGUGUAGACAUAUAUACAUAUGUUAUAUAUAUGUAUUAUAAGACAUAACAUACAUAUAUAACACAUGUAUUAACUCCACUUGCAAAGAUUUCAUUGUAGAGGACAGACAUACUUUACCAUAUCAAUGAGCUACAAUUCUGGCCAACAGCAGAGAUACAGCUUGAUAUCCAUUAAGAGCAAGGCCUCUGGACCCAGGCUUCCUGGGCUUGCCUCCAGAUUCCAUCCUUUCCUAAUUGUAUCACCACAGGACCUGGGAAGAUGGAGAAAGGGCUUCAUCGAUGGUGUACAUUUGCCACCUAAUGACCAAACCGAAUGGUGGAAUUUGUGAUUCUCACCUCAAACUGGUAGCUUGACCUUGGCUCCUGAGUUCUGUGGUCCCUUCACAACUGCAACUCAUUCUGAUGCCACAUUUCGGUUUACAUUGUCUGGUGUACCUUUGUGAUCUUUUGAACAAUAUGCAAGUUCAAGUCACUGCCAAGCUGCCUGAUUGUGCAUGUACAAAAAAUCUUCACCAUUUGUGUUACUUGCUUCAGCUCUCUGUGCUUCUGCCUGUUCUGUCUGCAGCCAUUGCUCAUGCCCCUGUGUUAGCAUAUAAAAAUGGUUUUGCCCUUUUUACCUGUCUUGUUAAUUUUAUCAUUUGGUUAUUAAAUAUUACAAGUUAA